This 691-nucleotide ribosomal RNA is filed under the name uncultured bacterium. Its description in RNAcentral is "bacterial SSU rRNA". It matches the Rfam family "Bacterial small subunit ribosomal RNA", at positions 57 to 757 of the family's 1533-position model. The record is from RNAcentral.
ACGAAGCGAUCUAGCGGAAGUUUUCGGAUGGAAGUUAAAUUGACUGAGUGGCGGACGGGUGAGUAACGCGUGGGUAACCUGCCUCACACUGGGGGACAACAGUUAGAAAUGACUGCUAAUACCGCAUAAGCGCACAGGACCGCAUGGCCCGGUGUGAAAAACUCCGGUGGUGUGAGAUGGACCCGCGUUUGAUUAGCUAGUUGGUGGGGUAACGGCCUACCAAGGCGACGAUCAAUAGCCGACCUGAGAGGGUGACCGGCCACAUUGGGACUGAGACACGGCCCAAACUCCUACGGGAGGCAGCAGUGGGGAAUAUUGCACAAUGGGGGAAACCCUGAUGCAGCGACGCCGCGUGAGUGAAGAAGUAUUUCGGUAUGUAAAGCUCUAUCAGCAGGGAAGAAAAUGACGGUACCUGACUAAGAAGCCCCGGCUAACUACGUGCCAGCAGCCGCGGUAAUACGUAGGGGGCAAGCGUUAUCCGGAUUUACUGGGUGUAAAGGGAGCGUAGACGGUAAAGCAAGUCUGAAGUGAAAGCCCGGGGCUCAACUCCGGGACUGCUUUGGAAACUGUUUAACUAGAGUGCUGGAGAGGUAAGCGGAAUUCCUAGUGUAGCGGUGAAAUGCGUAGAUAUUAGGAGGAACACCAGUGGCGAAGGCGGCUUACUGGACAGUAACUGACGUUGAGGCUCGAA